UACGUGGGGUGCAAGCGUUAAUCGGAAUUACUGGGCGUAAAGCGUGCGCAGGCGGUGAUGUAAGACAGGUGUGAAAUCCCCGGGCUUAACCUGGGAACUGCAUUUGUGACUGCAUCGCUGGAGUGCGGCAGAGGGGGGAUGGAAUUCCGCGUGUAGCAGUGAAAUGCGUAGAUAUGCGGAGGAACACCGAUGGCGAGGGCAAUCCCCUGGGCCUGCACUGACGCUCAUGCACGAAAGCGUGGGGAGCAAACAGG
RNAcentral lists this ribosomal RNA (254 nucleotides) under uncultured bacterium. RNAcentral describes it as "partial 16S ribosomal RNA". It matches the Rfam family "Bacterial small subunit ribosomal RNA", at positions 524 to 776 of the family's 1533-position model. The record is from RNAcentral.